GACGAACGCUGGCGGCGUGCUUAACACAUGCAAGUCGAACGGAAAGGCCCUGCUUUUGUGUGGUGCUCGAGUGGCGAACGGGUGAUUAACACGUGCGUAACCUGCCCUUGACUUUGGGAUAACUUCAGGAAACUUGGUCUCAUACCGGAUAUGAGCUCCUGCUGCAUGGUGGGUGUUGGAAAGUUUCGGCGGUUGGGGAUGGACUCGCGGCUUAUCAGCUUGUUGGUGGGGUAGUGGCUUACCAAGGCUUUGACGGGUAGCCGGCCUGAGAGGGUGACCGGCCACAUUGGGACUGAGAUACGGCCAAGACGCAUACGGGAGGCAGCAGUGGGGAAUAUUGCACAAUGGGCGGAAGCCUGAUGCAGCAACGCCGCGUGCGGGAUGACGGCCUUAGGGUUGUAAACCGCUUUCGCCUGUGACGAAGCGUGAGUGACGGUAAUGGGUAAAGAAGCACCGGCUAACUACGUG
Molecule: ribosomal RNA, 468 nt
Filed under: uncultured bacterium
Lineage: Bacteria
Description: partial 16S ribosomal RNA
Rfam family: Bacterial small subunit ribosomal RNA
Source: RNAcentral